UCUGUGUGUCGCAACUGGCGUAGCACGAAGAUGGGUCACCAUCGGGGAGCGACUGACACGGUUAGUGGCCGCACGCCUGGGCCGCACAU
Cryobacterium roopkundense is the source of this 89-nucleotide regulatory RNA element. It matches the Rfam family "ZMP/ZTP riboswitch aptamer (pfl RNA motif)". From Rfam's summary of the family: Previously known as pfl RNA. The record is from Rfam. NCBI's taxonomy places the organism in Bacteria, Bacillati, Actinomycetota, Actinomycetes, Micrococcales, Microbacteriaceae.